GCCUAGUUAGCUUAGUUGGUAGUGCGUCUGCCUUGUAAGCGCUAGGCCGCGGGUUCGAAUCCCGCUCGGGGCG
RNAcentral lists this transfer RNA (73 nucleotides) under Diaphorina citri (Asian citrus psyllid). It matches the Rfam family "tRNA". From Rfam's summary of the family: Transfer RNA (tRNA) molecules are approximately 80 nucleotides in length. The record is from Rfam by way of RNAcentral. Lineage: Eukaryota; Metazoa; Arthropoda; Insecta; Hemiptera; Psyllidae.